GAUGAACGCUAGCGGGAGGCCUAAUACAUGCAAGUCGAGCGGUAGAGUGACUUCGGUUGCUUGAGAGCGGCGCACGGGUGAGUAACGCGUACAUGACCUACCUUUAAGACUGGGAUAGCCCUGGGAAACUGGGAUUAAUACCGGAUGUGAUAAAUACGUAUAGAGAUGUAUUAUUAAAGUUGAGGCGCUUAGAGAUGGAUGUGCGUCUGAUUAGCUAGUUGGUAGGUAACGGCCUACAAGGCGACGAUCAGUAGGGGGCGUGAGAGCGUGGCCCCCCACACGGGUACUGAGACACGGACCCGACUCCUACGGGAGGCAGCAGUAAGGAAUAUUGGUCAAUGGACGGAAGUCUGAACCAGCCAUCCCGCGUGCAGGAUGACUGCCCUAUGGGUUGUAAACUGCUUUUAGCAGAGACGAAACGCCUU
RNAcentral lists this ribosomal RNA (425 nucleotides) under uncultured bacterium. Its description in RNAcentral is "bacterial SSU rRNA". It matches the Rfam family "Bacterial small subunit ribosomal RNA", at positions 28 to 456 of the family's 1533-position model. The record is from RNAcentral.